Cervus elaphus (red deer) is the source of this 333-nucleotide long non-coding RNA. RefSeq lists it as uncharacterized. NCBI's taxonomy places the organism in Eukaryota, Metazoa, Chordata, Mammalia, Artiodactyla, Cervidae. The transcript is spliced from 3 exons. The record is from RefSeq and is a predicted model, not a curated record.
GGUGCAGUCUUUGAAGCGGCAGUAGCGCUUGUGGCCCUUGAGCCAGGACAGCACGCCGUGGUUGCGGCAGCGCGCGCACUUCGGCGUGCGCUGCAGGGGCGCCCGCGGCGGCUGCGACACCGGGCCGCCCAUGUACAGGCCCGAUUUGGCGGCACUCGGCCCAAGGCGGCUUUCAUUCCCACACUGGGCCACAGAAACACGGCUCGUGGAGAACCGGAACCUAUCUGAGCGCUGCGGGUGCACUAGGGUCCCGGCGCGAGAAGAGAAGAAAAUGCUUUUGAAAACUUGCUGGUCCAAAGACGACGACCCGUUUUUCAGGCUCCUCCCUCUGUG